GGUAUUGCAUCUUCCAGAACUCCCUACCUCCAUCUCUCUACUCCUAUACCUCUAUCUCUCUAGCUCGGUACCUCCAUUUCUCAAACACGGCAACUAUAUCCCUCAAAAUCACUGUAAUCUACACCCCGGCCAUGGACAAUAACGGGUUGAUGUAUAGCAUAUCUUGGAAGAUCAAAUAUCGGGUUCUCUUGGAAGAUCAAGCACAAUUAACAGAAUUCCUAACACAGACGAUUGGCAGAUGUAGUCCCAAUCUUGGAUUUACGGACAAAAAUGGAGUUUCUACCUAAUUUAGGAGUUAGCUGAGCUCAAGACAACAGUUAUAAAAAAGAUAAGACUCAAGGGCUGUUGGAUUGUUACAACCAGAUAACUCAGAAAGAACAUCAGCAACUGUGAAUAAUAAGGAAGGAGACGUACCUGUUCAUCGUGGAGUACAAUCCCCCUUUCCUCUCCAUCACUAAGUACGUACGUACAACCCUUACCUUGAUAGGGCUCUUAUUCCUGAAGGUUGAUCAAUCACCAGCAAGAACGUACAUCCCCAUAUUGGAAGAACACUCUUUUGUUCUGAUAAAAUAGUACUUUUGCGAUUGUUUGUAUUGAGUGAUUAAACCUGUAUUAUAUAGGCUUCAGUUGUAGAUAGGCCAAGAGUUUCAGACCUAAAUGGUCUCUGCAAUAGUCUUAAUUACCAUAGCCUUAAAUGUUGUCAUUGAGAACCGAAUCGUUCGAUUCAUUAAACCUGCAAAAUGUGUUGCUUCAUUAAUCCAUGUCUUCAAUUAAUAAUAUAUCGGGUGCUGAUAUAUUACCACCCAA
Molecule: long non-coding RNA, 807 nt
Organism: Ipomoea triloba (trilobed morning glory)
Lineage: Eukaryota; Viridiplantae; Streptophyta; Magnoliopsida; Solanales; Convolvulaceae
Exons: 4
Source: RefSeq, a predicted model, not a curated record